RNAcentral lists this ribosomal RNA (426 nucleotides) under Asanada sp. CES08954. Its description in RNAcentral is "partial 16S ribosomal RNA". It matches the Rfam family "Bacterial large subunit ribosomal RNA", at positions 1928 to 2600 of the family's 2925-position model. Lineage: Eukaryota; Metazoa; Arthropoda; Chilopoda; Scolopendromorpha; Scolopendridae. The record is from RNAcentral.
UAGCCGCAGUAUAUUGACUGUGCGAAGGUAGCAUAAUCAGUAGGUUAUUAAUUGUGAUCUGGAAUGAAUGGUUUGACAUAGGAUUAUCUGUUCUUUAGAUAUGUAUGAAUUUAAAAAAUUAGUCAUAAUGCUAAUUGGGUGAAAAAAGACAAGAAGACCCUGUUGAGUUUAAUAGAGGGGUUUUAUUAUGAUAGCUAAAGAUAAAUUUUUACUAUUUGGUUGGGGCAACUUUUGUAUGGCAUAAAAUAUUAAUGGAGUUUAGAACCAUAUUUUAUGAGUGUUAGAGUAAAUUACCACAGGGAUAACAGUUUAAUUUUAUUAUAGAGUUCUUAUCGAUGAUGAAGUUUGACACCUCGAUGUUGGAUUAUUAACCUGUUAGGAGCAGCGGCUUAAUAAGGUAGACUGUUCGUCUAUUAAAUAAUUACA